Long non-coding RNA from Pyrgilauda ruficollis (rufous-necked snowfinch), 900 nucleotides. RefSeq lists it as uncharacterized. NCBI's taxonomy places the organism in Eukaryota, Metazoa, Chordata, Aves, Passeriformes, Passeridae. The record is from RefSeq and is a predicted model, not a curated record. The transcript is spliced from 4 exons.
UGGGAACUGCAGGUUUUUAACUGGAGAGGGAGAGUUGGAGCUGGGAACUGCAGGUUUUUAACUGGAGAGGGAGAGUUGGAGCUGGGAACUGCAGGAUUUAGCUGGAGAAUGAGAGCUGGAGCUGGGACCUGCAGUGUCUAGAUCCCAUUUGGAGUAAGGAGGAGGAUGGGGGAGAUUGAGGUACAAGGCACCUUCCCACCUCUCUGCACAGCUGCUCCUCCCACUGUUCCUCGGGAGUCAGGCUUGGGAAUUGAUCCAGCUGGAAAUCAUCCUGCUUAUACACAAAGUCAUGACUCACUGCUGAAGGAGCUCCAAGUCCUCUUUGGAACAGCACAUUUCCUCCUUGAGGAAAUGACACAAACCCAUUCUGUCCCAUCAGCUGAGCAGCACAGGAGGAAGGAGCAGGAGGCAUCAGGAGACUUCCCUGCCACCAAACCUGCUUGUGGGACCCAUCUUCCUGUUGGUAGGAAACUUCUGUGGGCAGAAAACUCCCGGGUUGUUCCCUGACUGUGCUGGGAAAAGUGUGUCAGCAGCAGAGCUGGGCCCCAAGGCUGCAGAGCUGUCCCUUGACACAUCAACAGCUGUGCCACCAGCAGGGCAGGACAGGGAUUCUGGGACAAAGCAGCCUGGUUUUGCUGGAGUGGAUCAAAUCUGCAGGCUCUGGAUACAAGGUCCAUCCUCCUCGGCUCAGUGGGAGCGGGAAGUGCCCCAUCACUGCCCGGUGCUGGAGUCUGUACACAGCCCUGUGGCCUCAGAGCACUCCUUGUCUGCUGAAUUUGCAACAAUUAAUCCCAUGAUUUCCCUGCUAAUUAAACUUCUCCCUUUGGAAAAAUGAUAUUUUAAUGAAAAUUAAUGAGGUCCUGGCACAAAGAUGAUCCUUCCCCUGCUCUGUGCCAUGGA